RNAcentral lists this ribosomal RNA (484 nucleotides) under uncultured Flavobacteriales bacterium. Its description in RNAcentral is "bacterial SSU rRNA". It matches the Rfam family "Bacterial small subunit ribosomal RNA", at positions 28 to 505 of the family's 1533-position model. The record is from RNAcentral. Lineage: Bacteria; Pseudomonadati; Bacteroidota; Flavobacteriia; Flavobacteriales.
GAUGAACGCUAGCGGCAGGCUUAACACAUGCAAGUCGAACGGUAACAUAGAGAGCUUGCUUUCUGAUGACGAGUGGCGAACGGGUGCGUAACGCGUAUGCAACCUACCUUAAACAGGGGUAUACCCCAGAGAAAUUUGGAUUAAUCCCCCAUAGUAUAAUCAUUUCGCAUGUUAUGAUUAUUAAAACUUCGGUGGUUUAAGAUGGGCAUGCGUGACAUUAGAUAGUUGGUGAGGUAACGGCUCACCAAGUCAACGAUGUCUAGGGGUUCUGAGAGGAUUAUCCCCCACACUGGUACUGAGACACGGACCAGACUCCUACGGGAGGCAGCAGUGAGGAAUAUUGGUCAAUGGACGAAAGUCUGAACCAGCCAUGCCGCGUGAAGGAUGACUGCCCUACGGGUUGUAAACUUCUUUUAUGUAGGAAGAAACCUCUCUUCGUGAAGAGAGCUGACGGUACUACACGAAUAAGCACCGGCUAACUCCG